AGCGAACGCUGGCGGCAGGCCUAACACAUGCAAGUCGAACGAACCUUUCGGGGUUAGUGGCGGACGGGUGAGUAACACGUGGGAACGUGCCUUUAGGUUCGGAAUAACUCAGGGAAACUUGUGCUAAUACCGAAUGUGCCCUUCGGGGGAAAGAUUUAUCGCCUUUAGAGCGGCCCGCGUUUGAUUAGCUAGUUGGUUGAGGUAAUGGCUAACCAAGGCGACGAUCAGUAGCUGGUCUGAGAGGAUGAUCAGCCACAUUGGGACUGAGACACGGCCCAAACUCCUACGGGAGGCAGCAGUGGGGAAUCUUGCGCAAUGGGCGAAAGCCUGACGCAGCCAUGCCGCGUGAAUGAUGAAGGUCUUAGGAUUGUAAAAUUCUUUCACCGGGGACGAUAAUGACGGUACCCGGAGAAGAAGCCCCGGCUAACUUCGUG
Molecule: ribosomal RNA, 434 nt
Filed under: uncultured bacterium
Lineage: Bacteria
Description: partial 16S ribosomal RNA
Rfam family: Bacterial small subunit ribosomal RNA
Source: RNAcentral